CCUACGGGAGGCAGCAGUAAGGAAUAUUGGACAAUGGACGCAAGUCUGAUCCAGCCAUGCCGCGUGAAGGAUUAAGGCCCUCUGGGUUGUAAACUUCUUUUAUAGGGGACGAAAAAAGGGCUUUCUAGCUCGACUGACGGUACCCUAUGAAUAAGCACCGGCUAACUCCGUGCCAGCAGCCGCGGUAAUACGGAGGGUGCAAGCGUUAUCCGGAUUCACUGGGUUUAAAGGGUGCGUAGGCGGGCAGUUAAGUCAGUGGUGAAAUCUCUGGGCUCAACCCGGAAACUGCCAUUGAUACUAUCUGUCUUGAAUAUUGUGGAGGUGAGCGGAAUAUGUCAUGUAGCGGUGAAAUGCUUAGAUAUGACAUAGAACACCGAUUGCGUAGGCAGCUCGCUACACAUAUAUUGACGCUGAGGCACGAAAGCGUGGGGAUCAAACAGGAUUAGAUACCCUGGUAGUCCACGCCCUAAACUAUGAUUACUCGACAUAUGCGAUACACUGUAUGUGUCUGAGACGAAGACAUAAGUAAUACCACCGUACGGUAGUACGACCGACGACGGUUAGUAACGUACGAAGGAAGUUAGUACGGACGUUGAGACGAGCCGACGGACGACGACGAGGGAGGUAGG
This 629-nucleotide ribosomal RNA is filed under the name uncultured bacterium. RNAcentral's name for it is "bacterial SSU rRNA". The stretch from base 1 to 536 matches the Rfam family "Bacterial small subunit ribosomal RNA", at positions 338 to 873 of the family's 1533-position model. The record is from RNAcentral.